GGGUUCGGUGCUGCAGCUGCCCAGCGAUGGGAUGUGCUCGUCCGGGCCGGUGUCCCUUCUCUAUUCCACCCCACUGUGAACCAAGCGUGCGAGCAGAAGAGAGAUCGGAAGCUCGCAUGCACACUUUAACAUACCCCUUAUGAAGUAUCUGAAUGUACCUUGCGUUAACUCGCACAAAUACAACUUUCAACAACGGAUCUCUUGGCUCUCGCAUCGAUGAAGAACGCAGCGAAAUGCGAUAAGUAAUGUGAAUUGCAGAAUUCAGUGAAUCAUCGAAUCUUUGAACGCACCUUGCGCCCCUUGGCAUUCCGAGGGGCACGCCUGUUCGAGUGUCGUGAACUCCUCCACCCUCUACCUUUUUCAAAGGGUUACUGGGCUGGGAUUUGGGAGCUUGCGGGUCCCUGGCCGAUCCGCUCUCCUUGAAUACAUUAGCGAAGCCCUUGCGGCCUUGGUGUGAUAGUCAUCUACGCCUCGGCUUAGCGAACCUGUGGGAGUCGCUUCCAACCGUCCCUCUGCGGACAAUCACUACCAACUUGACCUCGAAUCAGGCGGGACUACCCGCUGAACUUAAGCAUAUCA
This 579-nucleotide ribosomal RNA is filed under the name fungal sp. AM2013. RNAcentral's name for it is "eukaryotic LSU rRNA". The stretch from base 182 to 335 matches the Rfam family "5.8S ribosomal RNA". Lineage: Eukaryota; Fungi. The record is from RNAcentral.